RNAcentral lists this transfer RNA (73 nucleotides) under Volvariella volvacea V23. RNAcentral describes it as "tRNA-Val (CAC) (tRNA-Val-CAC-1-1)". It matches the Rfam family "tRNA". From Rfam's summary of the family: Transfer RNA (tRNA) molecules are approximately 80 nucleotides in length. Lineage: Eukaryota; Fungi; Basidiomycota; Agaricomycetes; Agaricales; Pluteaceae. The record is from RNAcentral.
GGUUGAAUGGUCUAGUGGUUAUGAUCUCUGUCUCACACACAGAGGGUCUCCAGUUCGAUCCUGGAUUCAACCA